This 30-nucleotide non-coding RNA is filed under the name Homo sapiens (human). The record is from RNAcentral. Lineage: Eukaryota; Metazoa; Chordata; Mammalia; Primates; Hominidae.
UGAGGACCCAAAACCUUCUUGCUUGGAAAG